This 102-nucleotide Y RNA is filed under the name Prolemur simus (greater bamboo lemur). Its description in RNAcentral is "Y RNA (ENSPSMG00000007203.1)". It matches the Rfam family "Y RNA". From Rfam's summary of the family: Y RNAs are components of the Ro ribonucleoprotein particle (Ro RNP), in association with Ro60 and La proteins. The Y RNAs and Ro60 and La proteins are well conserved, but the function of the Ro RNP is not known. In humans the RNA component can be one of four small RNAs -- hY1, hY3, hY4 and hY5. The record is from Rfam by way of RNAcentral. Lineage: Eukaryota; Metazoa; Chordata; Mammalia; Primates; Lemuridae.
GGCUGGUCUGAGUGCAGUGGUGUUUACAGCUAAUUGAUCACAACCAGUUACGGAUUUCUUUGUUCCUUCUCCACUCCCACUGCUUCGCGUGACUGGCCUUAA